RNAcentral lists this ribosomal RNA (335 nucleotides) under Brachistosternus piacentinii. RNAcentral describes it as "partial 12S small subunit ribosomal RNA". Lineage: Eukaryota; Metazoa; Arthropoda; Arachnida; Scorpiones; Bothriuridae. The record is from RNAcentral.
UAAAAAUUUAUUUAUUUUAGGUAGUAACAGAUUUCUUGAAACCUAAAGAAUUUGGCGGUAUUUUAAAUAAUUAGAGGAACCUGUUAUAUAAAUGAUAAUCCACAACAUAUCUUACCUUAAUUAAGUUUGUAUACCGUUGUUUUUAGAUUAUGUUUAUAAAUUAUGAUCAAAAUUAAUUAAUUUUUAUAAAUCAAAUCAAGGUGCAGCAUAUUUAGGUUUUAAUGGGUUACAAUAUAUUUAUAUAUAUACGAAUAAAUUAUGAAAAUAUUUUGGAAGGUGGAUUUAAAAGUAAUUUAAAAUUAAAAUGUUUAAAUGAAUAAAAAUUUAAAAUAUGC